UCGGGAAACCGGAGCUAAUACCGGAUAAUAUUUUGUAACCGCAUGGUUCAAAAGUGAAAGACGGUCUUGCUGUCACUUAUAGAUGGAUCCGCGCUGCAUUAGCUAGUUGGUAAGGUAACGGCUUACCAAGGCAACGAUGCAUAGCCGACCUGAGAGGGUGAUCGGCCACACUGGAACUGAGACACGGUCCAG
RNAcentral lists this ribosomal RNA (192 nucleotides) under uncultured Staphylococcus sp. Its description in RNAcentral is "partial 16S ribosomal RNA". It matches the Rfam family "Bacterial small subunit ribosomal RNA", at positions 149 to 334 of the family's 1533-position model. The record is from RNAcentral. Lineage: Bacteria; Bacillati; Bacillota; Bacilli; Caryophanales; Staphylococcaceae.